This 509-nucleotide ribosomal RNA is filed under the name uncultured bacterium. RNAcentral describes it as "bacterial SSU rRNA". It matches the Rfam family "Bacterial small subunit ribosomal RNA", at positions 36 to 518 of the family's 1533-position model. The record is from RNAcentral.
CUGGCGGCGUGCCUAAUACAUGCAAGUCGAACGGUCUUUCUAUGGAAGCUUGCUUCCACUGAGAAGAUAGUGGCGAACGGGUGAGUAACACGUGGGUAACCUGCCCAUAAGAGGGGGAUAACAUCCGGAAACGGGUGCUAAUACCGCAUAGUUUUCUUGAUCGCAUGAUCGGGAAAGGAAAGACGGCCUUUGUGCUGUCGCUUAUGGAUGGACCCGCGGCGUAUUAGUUAGUUGGUGAGGUAAUGGCUCACCAAGACGAUGAUACGUAGCCGACCUGAGAGGGUGAUCGGCCACAUUGGGACUGAGACACGGCCCAAACUCCUACGGGAGGCAGCAGUAGGGAAUCUUCCGCAAUGGACGAAAGUCUGACGGAGCAACGCCGCGUGAGUGAAGAAGGUUUUUCGGAUCGUAAAACUCUGUUGUCAGAGAAGAACAAGUUGGAGAGUAACUGCUCCAGCCUUGACGGUAUCUGACCAGAAAGCCACGGCUAACUAUGUGCCAGCCGCGGC